GUGCUUGCUCGGCAGCACGUAUACUGAAAUUGGAAUGAUAUAGAGAAGAUUAGCAUGGCCCCUGUGCAAGGAUGAUACGCAAGUUCAUGAUGCAUUCCAUAUUUAA
Molecule: small nuclear RNA, 106 nt
Organism: Otolemur garnettii (small-eared galago)
Lineage: Eukaryota; Metazoa; Chordata; Mammalia; Primates; Galagidae
Source: Ensembl